This 425-nucleotide ribosomal RNA is filed under the name uncultured bacterium. Its description in RNAcentral is "partial 16S ribosomal RNA". It matches the Rfam family "Bacterial small subunit ribosomal RNA", at positions 354 to 796 of the family's 1533-position model. The record is from RNAcentral.
GUUAGGAAUAUUGGACAAUGGGCGAAAGCCUGAUCCAGCCAUGCCGCGUGAACGAUGAAGGCCUUCGGGUUGUAAAGUUCUUUAGCCGAUGAUUAUAAUGACUGUAGUCGGAAAAUAAGCCCCGGCUAACUUCGUGCCAGCAGCCGCGGUAAUACGAAGGGGGCGAGCGUUAUUCGGAAUCACUGGGCGUAAAGCGUGCGUAGGCGGUUUUGUAAGUUAGGAGUGAAAGCCCAGGGCUCAACCUUGGAAUUGCUCUUAAAACUGCAAGGCUCGAAUCUCGGAGAGGAUAGCGGAAUUACCAGUGUAGCAGUGAAAUGCGUAGAUAUUGGAAGGAACACCAGUGGCGUAAGCGGCUAUCUGGACGAGUAUUGACGCUGAGGCACGAAAGCGUGGGGAUCAAACAGGAUUAGAAACCCGUGUAGUCC